GAUGAACGCUGGCGGCGUGCCUAAUACAUGCAAGUCGAGCGAACGGACGAUAAGCUUGCUUCUCUGAUGUUAGCGGCGGACGGGUGAGUAACACGUGGAUAACCUACCUAUAAGACUGGGAUAACUUCGGGAAACCGGAGCUAAUACCGGAUAAUAUUUUGAACCGCAUGGUUCAAAAGUGAAAGACGGUCUUUCUGUCACUUCUAGAUGGUUCCGCGCUUCAUUAGCUAGUUGGUAAGGUAACGGCUUACCAAGGCAACGAUGCAUAGCCGACCUGAGAGGGUGAUCGGCCACACUGGAACUGAGACACGGUCCAGACUCCUACGGGAGGCAGCAGUAGGGAAUCUUCCGCAAUGGGCGAAAGCCUGACGGAGCAACGCCGCGUGAGUGAUGAAGGUCUUCGGAUCGUAAAACUCUGUUAUUAGGGAAGAACAUAUGUGUAAGUAACUGUGCACAUCUUGACGGUACCUAAUCAGAAAGCCACGGCUAACUACGUG
Molecule: ribosomal RNA, 497 nt
Filed under: uncultured bacterium
Lineage: Bacteria
Description: partial 16S ribosomal RNA
Rfam family: Bacterial small subunit ribosomal RNA
Source: RNAcentral